AAUAGAUACCCAGGUAGUCCACGCCGUAAACGAUGGAUACUAGCUGUUCGGUUGUAAGACUGAGUGGCUAAGCGAAAGUGAUAAGUAUCCCACCUGGGGAGUACGAACGCAAGUUUGAAACUCAAAGGAAUUGACGGGGGGCCCGCACAAGCGGUGGAGCAUGUGGUUUAAUUCGAUGAUACACGAGGAACCUUACCAGGGCUUAAAUGUAGUGGGACAGGCUUGGAAACAGGCCCUUCUUCGGACUCAUUACAAGGUGCUGCAUGGUUGUCGUCAGCUCGUGCCGUGAGGUGUCAGGUUAAGUCCUAUAACGAGCGCAACCCCUGUUGUUAGUUGCCAGCGAGUAAUGUCGGGAACUCUAACAAGACUGCCGGUGCAAACCGUGAGGAAGGUGGGGAUGACGUCAAAUCAUCACGGCCCUUACGUCCUGGGCUACACACGUGCUACAAUGGCCGGUACAGAGAGCAGCCACUGGGGCGACCAGGGAGCGAAUCUAUAAAGCCGGUCACAGUUCGGAUUGGAGUCUGCAAACCCGGACUCCC
This 542-nucleotide ribosomal RNA is filed under the name uncultured bacterium. RNAcentral describes it as "bacterial SSU rRNA". It matches the Rfam family "Bacterial small subunit ribosomal RNA", at positions 777 to 1320 of the family's 1533-position model. The record is from RNAcentral.